Molecule: ribosomal RNA, 257 nt
Filed under: uncultured bacterium
Lineage: Bacteria
Description: partial 16S ribosomal RNA
Rfam family: Bacterial small subunit ribosomal RNA
Source: RNAcentral
UACGUAGGGUGCGAGCGUUAAUCGGAAUUACUGGGCGUAAAGCGUGCGCAGGCGGCUUCGCAAGUCAGGCGUGAAAUCCCCGGGCUUAACCUGGGAAUGGCGUCUGAAACUACGGAGCUGGAGUGUGGCAGAGGGGAGGUAGAAUUCCACGUGUAGCGGUGAAAUGCGUAGAUAUGAUGGAGGAAUACCGAUGGCGAAGGCAGCCUCCUGGGCCAACACUGACGCUCGAUGACACGAAAGCGUGGGGAGCGAACAGG